This 496-nucleotide ribosomal RNA is filed under the name uncultured bacterium. Its description in RNAcentral is "partial 16S ribosomal RNA". It matches the Rfam family "Bacterial small subunit ribosomal RNA", at positions 29 to 507 of the family's 1533-position model. The record is from RNAcentral.
AUGAACGCUGGCGGCGUGCCUAAUACAUGCAAGUCGCGCGAACAGACGAGGAGCUUGCUCCUCUGACGUUAGCGGCGGACGGGUGAGUAACACGUGGAUAACCUACCUAUAAGACUGGGAUAACUUCGGGAAACCGGAGCUAAUACCGGAUAAUAUAUUGAACCGCAUGGUUCAAUAGUGAAAGACGGUUUUGCUGUCACUUAUAGAUGGAUCCGCGCUGCAUUAGCUAGUUGGUAAGGUAACGGCUUACCAAGGCGACGAUGCGUAGCCGACCUGAGAGGGUGAUCGGCCACACUGGAACUGAGACACGGUCCAGACUCCUACGGGAGGCAGCAGUAGGGAAUCUUCCGCAAUGGGCGAAAGCCUGACGGAGCAACGCCGCGUGAGUGAUGAAGGUCUUCGGAUCGUAAAACUCUGUUAUUAGGGAAGAACAAAUGUGUAAGUAACUAUGCACGUCUUGACGGUACCUAAUCAGAAAGCCACGGCUAACUACGUG